Molecule: ribosomal RNA, 231 nt
Filed under: uncultured bacterium
Lineage: Bacteria
Description: partial 16S ribosomal RNA
Rfam family: Bacterial small subunit ribosomal RNA
Source: RNAcentral
AGUAACGCGUAGGUAACCUGCCUUGUAGCGGGGGAGUAACUAUUGGAAACGAUAGCUAAUACCGCAUAACAAUGGAUGACCCAUGUCAUUUAUUUGAAAGGGGCAAAUGCUCCACUACAAGAUGGACCUGCGUUGUAUUAGCUAGUAGGUGAGGUAACGGCUCACCUAGGCGACGAUACAUAGCCGACCUGAGAGGGUGAUCGGCCACACUGGAACUGAAACACGGUCCAG